GAUGCUGACGAGCGGCGGACGGGUGAGUACUGCAUAGGAAUCUACCCGGUAGUGGGGGAUAACCUGGGGAAACUCAGGCUAAUACCGCAUACGUCCUACGGGAGAAAGGGGGCUUUGGCUCCCGCUAUUGGAUGAGCCUAUGCCGGAUUAGCUGGUUGGUGAGGUAAUGGCUCACCAAGGCGACGAUCCGUAGCUGGUCUGAGAGGAUGAUCAGCCACAUCGGGACUGAGACACGGCCCGAACUCCUACGGGAGGCAGCAGUGGGGAAUAUUGGACAAUGGGGGCAACCCUGAUCCAGCCAUGCCGCGUGUGUGAAGAAGAACUCUAAGGAGACUGCCGGUGACAAACCGGAGGAAGGUGGGGACGACGUCAAGUCAUCAUGGCCCUUACGGGUAGGGCUACACACGUGCUACAAUGGCCGGUACAAAGGGCAGCGAGCUCGCGAGAGUCAGCGAAUCCCUUAAAGCCGGUCUCAGUCCGGAUCGGAGUCUGCAACUCGACUCCGUGAAGUCGGAAUCGCUAGUAAUCGUGCAUCAGAAUGGCACGGUGAAUACGUUCCCGGGCCUU
Molecule: ribosomal RNA, 567 nt
Filed under: Halomonas sp. BS27_6
Lineage: Bacteria; Pseudomonadati; Pseudomonadota; Gammaproteobacteria; Oceanospirillales; Halomonadaceae
Description: bacterial SSU rRNA
Rfam family: Bacterial small subunit ribosomal RNA
Source: RNAcentral